AUGCAGCUGUCCCAUGGGCACAGGGCCCAGGACUGGCAGUUAACAGCCGCCCUUGCACCACAUGGGGAGCUCCCUCCACUCCUCCCCCCACUCCUCAGCGGCGGCGGCGUCCAUAGCCCAGGUGCCAAGAGGGCACCGGGCGCCCAGGCCAGGCUGCGGGAGGGAGGUGAGCUCCUUUCCUACCCUCUCUCCCUCUUCCCUCAACCUGUUAGGCCCUCAGAGGCAUCGUUCCCCCCCCCACCCCGGACCUCCAUUGAAAUCCUCACUCCCAGGCACAGGACUCCCCAGCACAGGGCUGUAUUUGGAACCUUGGAACCGGAGCCGUUAAAGAGGUGAUUAAGUUAAAAUGAAGUCAUUAGGGUGGCCCUAAUCCAACAGGACUAAUGUCCUUAUAAGAGGAGAUGAGGACACAGAUGCAGGCAUAGGAGAGAGCAUGUGAGGACACGCGGAGAAAAAGGCCAGGAACCAGCCAAGGAGAGGCCUCUGGAGAAACCCCUGCUGCUGACACCUUGAUCUUGGACCCUGGCCUCUGGGACCCUGAGGAGAUAAAUUCCUGUUGUUUAAGCCACCUGGCUGUGCUCCUCGGAUGUGGCAGUCCUAGCAAAGCCGGUCCACCAGCCUGCGGGCCGAAUGCAGGCACUCUCAGGGCUUUAGGAGCGCCCCUUUUUACCUCCCAGUUUGCACAGCCUAGGCAGGUACAGUGCAGGAGACGUCCCGCUCUUCAGACUGCAGUGAUAGACUCUACUAAACCCAAGCAUGUGCAGUGCCCCCCCACCGCACCUCCCCCCAAAAAGCUUACACAGGGCCACCAAUCCUGUCUUCUCCCUCUUGGCUCCCCCUUCUCCCUCCCACAGACAAGUCCCCAGAGGGUUGGAAGGAUUUUGAGAUGUUGCAUAACCUGGCUUGGAGGAGCCCAUGGAGCUUUUGCUGAAUCUGGCUUCACGUGAUGCUAACAGAUUGUGAACUAUACAUGUGCCAGUUUCCCCCUCUGCCAGACCAUUUUUAAGUUACGUGUGCACAGAAUGGCAUUUAAAGGCCUUACAUUUCUCUCAAAGGAAAGAAAAGAAUGAAAAAUAGCCCACGAGGCUCACAAAAUGUGAGCCAGAGCAGCUGAUGCAAAGUUUGGGGUGGGUUUUGUUUGGUUUUUGUUGGGGGGGCAGGGCUUUGCUCCUGGGUUUUGUUGUUUGCUUUGGGCCUGAAAGAAGGGAGCAGGGAAGAGAAGAGAACCAGGUUACAGGCAAGGAUUCAAGAAAGUCAUUUCUGAACUAGACAGGGAGGGCUCAGGCCUCCUGGAGGCCAACAAGGGUGAGCAAGUUUCCAGGGUCCCCUGAGCAAG
This 1336-nucleotide long non-coding RNA is filed under the name Sus scrofa (pig). RNAcentral's name for it is "lncRNA (ENSSSCG00070012611.1)". The record is from RNAcentral. Lineage: Eukaryota; Metazoa; Chordata; Mammalia; Artiodactyla; Suidae.